This 253-nucleotide ribosomal RNA is filed under the name uncultured bacterium. RNAcentral describes it as "partial 16S ribosomal RNA". It matches the Rfam family "Bacterial small subunit ribosomal RNA", at positions 524 to 776 of the family's 1533-position model. The record is from RNAcentral.
UACAGAGGGGGCAAGCGUUGUUCGGAAUUACUGGGCGUAAAGGGCGCGUAGGCGGCCUUCUAAGUCGAACGUGAAAUCCCCGGGCUCAACCCGGGAACUGCGUCCGAUACUGGAAGGCUUGAAUCCGGGAGAGGGAUGCGGAAUUCCAGGUGUAGCGGUGAAAUGCGUAGAUAUCUGGAGGAACACCGGUGGCGAAGGCGACUGACUGGACAUGUAUUGACGCUGAGGUGCGAAAGCGUGGGGAGCAAACAGG